RNAcentral lists this long non-coding RNA (268 nucleotides) under Mytilus galloprovincialis (Mediterranean mussel). Lineage: Eukaryota; Metazoa; Mollusca; Bivalvia; Mytilida; Mytilidae. The record is from RNAcentral.
CGGUCACCAAUCUAAAAAGUUCAUGCUUGUGUCAUUUUCUUUAUUCCGGUCAAAUGUGUUCCACGAUUCUAACACUUUUGGGUUUCAUUCACAGUCCAAAUUUUUUGACACAAAGUUAUUGCAUAAAUAAAAUAAAUCCAAGGUGUUUUACUCACAAACAUUUGUGUCAUUUGUGACAUACGCUACGGCGAUUUGCGUUCUUGGACACAGCGUAUUACUCGUAACCCGAAUAUUUCACGCCCUUCUCGUAAUCAAUCUCUAUUCUCGG